RNAcentral lists this ribosomal RNA (437 nucleotides) under uncultured bacterium. RNAcentral describes it as "bacterial SSU rRNA". It matches the Rfam family "Bacterial small subunit ribosomal RNA", at positions 43 to 524 of the family's 1533-position model. The record is from RNAcentral.
CAGGCCUAACACAUGCAAGUCGAACGAGUGCCUUCGGGUGCUAGUGGCGCACGGGUGCGUAACGCGUGGGAAUCUGCCCUUAGGUUCGGAAUAACAGUUAGAAAUGACUGCUAAUACCGGAUGAUGACGUAAGUCCAAAGAUUUAUCGCCUGAGGAUGAGCCCGCGUAGGAUUAGCUAGUUGGUGUGGUAAAGGCGCACCAAGGCGACGAUCCUUAGCUGGUCUGAGAGGAUGAUCAGCCACACUGGGACUGAGACACGGCCCAGACUCCUACGGGAGGCAGCAGUGGGGAAUAUUGGACAAUGGGCGCAAGCCUGAUCCAGCAAUGCCGCGUGAGUGAUGAAGGCCUUAGGGUUGUAAAGCUCUUUUACCCGUGAUGAUAAUGACAGUAGCGGGAGAAUAAGCCCCGGCUAACUCCGUGCCAGCAGCCGCGGUAAU